AGGACGAACGCUGGCGGCGUGCUUAACACAUGCAAGUCGAGCGGUAAGGCCCUUUCGGGGGUACACGAGCGGCGAACGGGUGAGUAACACGUGAGCAAUCUGCCCUUCACUUCGGGAUAAGCCUCGGAAACGGGGUCUAAUACCGGAUAUGACUGCGCCAUGCAUGUGGUGUGGUGGAAAGUUCUGGCGGUGAGGGAUGAGCUCGCGGCCUAUCAGCUUGUUGGUGGGGUAAUGGCCUACCAAGGCUUCGACGGGUAGCCGGCCUGAGAGGGUGACCCGGCACACUGGGACUGAGACACGGCCCA
Molecule: ribosomal RNA, 305 nt
Filed under: uncultured soil bacterium
Lineage: Bacteria
Description: bacterial SSU rRNA
Rfam family: Bacterial small subunit ribosomal RNA
Source: RNAcentral